GCAUAUCAAUAAGCGGAGGAAAAGAAACUAACAAGGAUUCCCCUAGUAACUGCGAGUGAAGCGGGAAAAGCUCAAAUUUAAAAUCUGGUGGUCUCUGGCCAUCCGAGUUGUAAUCUAGAGAAGUGUUACCCGCGUCGGACCGUGUAUAAGUCUCCUGGAAUGGAGCGUCAUAGAGGGUGAGAAUCCCGUCUUUGACACGGACUACCGAGGCUUUGUGGUAUGCUCUCAAAGAGUCGAGUUGUUUGGGAAUGCAGCUCAAAAUGGGUGGUAAAUUCCAUCUAAAGCUAAAUAUUGGCGAGAGACCGAUAGCGAACAAGUACCGUGAGGGAAAGAUGAAAAGAACUUUGGAAAGAGAGUUAAACAGUACGUGAAAUUGCUGAAAGGGAAACGCUUGAAGUCAGUCGCGUUGGCCGGGAAUCAGCCUUGCUUUUGCUUGGUGUACUUUCUGGUUGACGGGCCAGCAUCAGUUUUGACCGGUGGAAAAAGUUCAGGGGAAUGUGGCAUCUUCGGGUGUGUUAUAGCCCUUGUUCGUAUACAUCGGUUGGGACUGAGGAACUCAGCACGCCGCAAGGCCGGGUCUUUGACCACGUUCGUGCUUAGGAUGCUGGCAUAAUGGCUUUAAUCGACCCGUCUUGAAACACGGACCAAGGAGUCUAACAUGCCUGCGAGUGUUUGGGUGGAAAACCCGAGCGCGUAAUGAAAGUGAAAGUUGAGAUCCUUGUCAUGGGGAGCAUCGACGCCCGGACCUGACGUUUUCUGACGGCCCUGCGGUAGAGCAUGUAUGUUGGGACCCGAAAGAUGGUGAACUAUGCCUGAAUAGGGUGAAGCCAGAGGAAAACUCUGGUGGAGGCUCGUAGCGAUUCUGACGUGCAAAUCGAUCGUCAAAUUUGGGUAUAGGGGCGAAAGACUAAUCGAACCAUCUAGUAGCUGGUUCCUGCCGA
RNAcentral lists this ribosomal RNA (941 nucleotides) under Candolleomyces candolleanus. RNAcentral's name for it is "LSU rRNA". It matches the Rfam family "Eukaryotic large subunit ribosomal RNA", at positions 38 to 964 of the family's 3401-position model. Lineage: Eukaryota; Fungi; Basidiomycota; Agaricomycetes; Agaricales; Psathyrellaceae. The record is from RNAcentral.